GCGAGGGGAGCGUGAAGGAGCGGGGCUGAGAGGGGGGCGAGCGGAGCGGGACGAGCUGCCCGAGCCCGGGGCUGCCCUGCCGGGCCAUGGCGCGGCGGGACGGCGGCGGGACGGCGCUGCGGCUGCUGCUGUGGCUGUGGCUGUGCGCGCUGUGCCCCGGCCCGGCCGCCGCUUGCAGCCCGCGCUGCCGGCACGGUGGGCUCUGCCUCGCCGACGGCUCCUGCCUCUGCUCCAAGGGCUACGAGGGCGAGCGCUGCCAGCACGCUACAUGUUAUCCAAAAUGCAAAAAUGGGGGAGAGUGUCUCCGACCUGGAAAAUGCAGAUGUCCACCUGGCUAUGGGGGUAGAUACUGUCAUAAAGUAAGCUGUGAAGGAGGGUGUCAGAAUGGUGGGGAAUGUGUCUCUGUCAAUGGAGUUGUGAAGUGCCUGUGUGCUUCUGGCUGGACAGGAUCAAGAUGCCAGGAAGCAAUUUGUCCUCAAGGUUGUCGCAAUAAUGGAGCUUGUGUGGCUCCUGGGAUUUGUAGCUGUCCAGCUGGAUGGGUCGGUAGAGCAUGUCACUUAGCUGUAUGUAAACUGCCUUGCCAGAAUGGAGGGAAAUGCAUCGCUCCAAACGUGUGUAGAUGUCGACUGCCAUACUCUGGGCCGCAGUGUACAAAGAAAAGGAAGGAAUGAAGCAACUUCAGCCAAGAUAAGCUGCACUUUUUUUCAUGUAACUAUACAGAGAGGAAGACUGCAGCAGUGGGUGACCUUAAAAUAAACAUGCCAGCAUGACUAUCUGUGGUAUCUUCUGUGAUACAAACUCUUCAGAGAGCAUUCACUGUACUGCAGUUUAAAAGAUCUUUUCAAGAUCAGGGUCAAAAAUCAAUGUGCACUUAGAAGAAUUUCUGCUGGCCUGCAGAGCAACUGUAGUACAACCAGAGGACUCCAGUAUAACCUGGACGACAAGAGCACACAUUGGGCAAUACACACUUGCCUCCAAACAGACACUUCUGGCUGCACACAGCUAAAACAAGAGAGAUUUCCUCAUAAUCACAACUAAGGAGUGUGGAGAAGAAAAAAAGAAAGUAUUACCAUUCUGACAGUGGGCACCAAAGAAUCCACGUGGACACAGGCAAACGUCUGGCUUAGUACAGGAACCACCAUUGAG
Poecile atricapillus (Black-capped chickadee) is the source of this 1146-nucleotide RNA transcript. It is a transcript of the gene named von Willebrand factor D and EGF domain-containing protein-like, with no coding region annotated. Lineage: Eukaryota; Metazoa; Chordata; Aves; Passeriformes; Paridae. The transcript is spliced from 8 exons. The record is from RefSeq and is a predicted model, not a curated record.